GACGAACGCUGGCGGCGUGCCUAACACAUGCAAGUCGAACGGGGCUAGGAAAGCUUGCUUUCCGAUGCCUAGUGGCGGACGGGUGAGUAACGCGUGAGUAACCUGCCUUUCAGAGGGGAAUAACGUUCUGAAAGGAACGCUAAUACCGCAUAAUGUACAGCUUUCGCAUGGAAGCAGUACCAAAGGAGCAAUCCGCUGAGAGAUGGACUCGCGUCCGAUUAGCUAGUUGGUGGGGUAAAGGCCUACCAAGGCGAUGAUCGGUAGCCGGACUGAGAGGUUGAACGGCCACAUUGGGACUGGAGACACGGCCCAGACUCCUACGGGAGGCAGCAGUGGGGGAUAUUGCACAAUGGGGGAAACCCUGAUGCAGCAACGCCGCGUGUGGGAAGAA
This 391-nucleotide ribosomal RNA is filed under the name uncultured bacterium. Its description in RNAcentral is "bacterial SSU rRNA". It matches the Rfam family "Bacterial small subunit ribosomal RNA", at positions 28 to 412 of the family's 1533-position model. The record is from RNAcentral.